GAUGAAGAACGCAGCGAAAUGCGAUAAGUAAUGUGAAUUGCAGAAUUCAGUGAAUCAUCGAAUCUUUGAACGCACAUUGCGCCCCCUGGUAUUCCGGGGGGCAUGCCUGUUCGAGCGUCAUUUCACCACUCAAGCCUCGCUUGGUAUUGGGCAACGCGGUCCGCCGCGUGCCUCAAAUCGACCGGCUGGGUCUUCUGUCCCCUAAGCGUUGUGGAAACUAUUCGCUAAAGGGUGUUCGGGAGGCUACGCCGUAAAACAACCCCAUUUCUAAGGUUGACCUCGGAUCAGGUAGGGAUACCCGCUGAACUUAAGCAUAUCAAUAAGCAGGA
Molecule: unclassified non-coding RNA, 329 nt
Filed under: soil metagenome
Description: partial contains 5.8S ribosomal RNA, internal transcribed spacer 2, and large subunit ribosomal RNA
Rfam family: 5.8S ribosomal RNA (bases 1-120)
Source: RNAcentral